AGUGAACGCUGGCGGUAGGCCUAACACAUGCAAGUCGAACGGCAGCACAGUAAGAGCUUGCUCUUACGGGUGGCGAGUGGCGGACGGGUGAGGAAUACAUCGGAAUCUACUUUUUCGUGGGGGAUAACGUAGGGAAACUUACGCUAAUACCGCAUACGACCUACGGGUGAAAGCAGGGGAUCUUCGGACCUUUCGCGAUUGAUUGAGCCGAUGUCGGAUUAGCUAGUUGGCGGGGUAAAGGCCCACCAAGGCGACGAUCCGUAGCUGGUCUGAGAGGAUGAUCAGCCACACUGGAACUGAGACACGGUCCAGACUCCUACGGGAGGCAGCAGUGGGGAAUAUUGGACAAUGGGCGCAAGCCUGAUCCAGCCAUACCGCGUGGGUGAAGAAGGCCUUCGGGUUGUAAAGCCCUUUUGUUGGGAAAGAAAAGCAGCAGGUUAAUACCCCGCUGUUCUGACGGUACCCAAAGAAUAAGCACCGGCUAACUUCGUG
RNAcentral lists this ribosomal RNA (492 nucleotides) under uncultured bacterium. RNAcentral describes it as "partial 16S ribosomal RNA". It matches the Rfam family "Bacterial small subunit ribosomal RNA", at positions 29 to 507 of the family's 1533-position model. The record is from RNAcentral.